Molecule: RNA transcript, 2066 nt
Organism: Nomascus leucogenys (northern white-cheeked gibbon)
Lineage: Eukaryota; Metazoa; Chordata; Mammalia; Primates; Hylobatidae
Gene name: protein RCC2 pseudogene
Exons: 2
Source: RefSeq, a predicted model, not a curated record
AUGGAUUUAGGCCAGCCUGGGCGACAGAGAGAGACUCCAUCUCAAAAAAAAAAAAAAGGACCCAAACAGGAAGCUGCUUACCGCAAUAUCAGUCAGAAUUUGUGGGGGCCCAUCGGUAUGGGUGCCUGGCGGGGGUCCGGGUGCAGACAGUGGUCUCGGGCUCCUGUGCUGCACACAGCCUCCUCAUUACCACCGAAGGGAAGCUGUGGAGCUGGGGUCCAAAUGAGAAGGGGCAGCUGGGACAUGGUGACAUCAAGAGAGUAGAAGCCCCCAGACUCAUCUAGGGUCUCAGCCACGAAGUGAUUGUGUCUGCAGCAUGUGCGCGGAACCACACCUUGGCCUUGAUGGAAACAGGCUCCGUGUUUGCCUUUGGGGAAAACAAGAUGGGGCAGUGGGGCCUUAGCAACCAGACAGGUGCUGUCCCCAGCCCUGCGCAGAUAAUGUACAACGGCCAGCCAAUUACCAAAAUGGCCUGUGGGGCUGAAUUCAGUAUGAUAAUGGACUGCAAAGGAAACCUUUUUUAUCUGUUCCUUUGGGUGCCCUGAAUAUGGUCAGCUGGGACACAACUCAGAUGGGAAGUUCAUUGUCCCGGCAUAGCGGAUAGAGUAUGACUGCGAACUAGUUCUCCCGCUAGUGGCCAUCUUCAUUGAGAAGACAAAAGAUGGACAGAUUCUUCCUGUACCAAACUUGGUUAUGCGAGGCGUGGCCUGUGGCGCUAACCACACGCUGGUCCUGGACUCCCAGAAGUGAGUCUUCUCCUGGGGCUUCGGUGGCUAUGGCUGGCUGGGCCACGCAGAGCAGAAGGAUGAGAUGGUCCCCUGCCUGGUGAAGCUGUUUGACUUCCCUGGGCAUGGGGCUUCCCAGAUCUAUGCUGGUUACACCUGUUUCUUUGCCGUCAGUGAAGUGGGUGGUCUGUUUUUCUGGGGGGCCACCAACACCUCCCGUGAAUCUACCAUGUACCCAAAAGCAGUGCAGGACUUCUGCGGCUGGAGAAUCCAGAGCCUGGCUUGUGGGAAGAGCAGCAGCAUUGUGGCCGCUGACGAGAGCACCAUCAGCUGGGACCCAUCACCGACCUUUGGGGAACUGGGCUACAGGGACCACAAGCCCAAGUCUUCCACUACAGCCGAGGAGGUGAAGACUGUGCAUGGCAUUUUCUCAGAGCAGGUCGCCAUGGGCUACUCACACUCCUUGGUGAUAGCAAGAGAUGAAAAUGAGACUGAGAAAGAAAAGAUCAAGAAACUGCCAUAAUACAGCCCCCGAACCCUCUGAUGCUCCCGGAGACUCCUCCGACUCCACACCUCUCACGGCAUCUGUCAUUUCCAUGUGCACUGGGACGGGAAGUCAAACGAGGAAUUUAAAAAAACAAAAGUUGACCGAAGGUGUAUUUUUGUUUAGACUCCCUGAGGUUCCGUUUUACAAAUGAUCCAGCGUUAACUACCUUUUUUUCUGUAUGCUUUCCAAAGUCCCUUUUUUUCCCUUAAUGUCAAAUUAAAAUACUUGCUCAUAGUUGACUUACCAUUCCUACAAAAGAGGCAGAAACUUUGAGCAAUCUAGGUUUUUUUUGUUUCUUUCUUCCUCUCCUGAAUACACUCCCCAAAACACUCCUUUCGAGUUAUAAUUAGCAUCGUGAUCUAAGCGGAUGCUACAUGGAAGAGGAAUUGCCAUUUACUCAGAAAAAACGUCCCUUACAGGAACCGGCAGCAGCUAGGCAAAGUCGCCGGCCCACCUCCAUCCAAAAUCAUGCUCGCAUGCUUCAGAAGCAUCCAGGUCACUCCUUUCCCACUUUUUCUUGCAGAUCGGCCUAGGCCGGUGUCAGUUCUGUUUCUCCUCUUGGCUGCCUGUAUGCCCACAGCCUUCUGGCUGUGACAUUAUAGAAUCAGCCGUGUUCCCCCUGGUGGGGGAUUGGGGAUCUGUGUUUAGCCAUUUGUAACUACUUCAGCUGUUAAGUCCAAAUGAAAAUCAGGUGACUGUGGAACCAUGGGGACUUGGGGGUGGGGCAGAGGUGGGAACAUUUCUAUCAGUUGAGUCAGCUUCGUGGCUCCCUGUGGAGCCAGGGCUGAGUCUUG